This is a non-coding RNA of Zootoca vivipara (common lizard), 7416 nucleotides long. Lineage: Eukaryota; Metazoa; Chordata; Lepidosauria; Squamata; Lacertidae. The record is from RefSeq and is a predicted model, not a curated record.
GUCAUUACUGCUGAAUUGGCAAGGAAGGGCCGUACGUGUGGCUAAAUGUGGUGGGGAAGACAGCCACAGGAAGUGAACUGGAAAAAAUAAAAAAAAAAUAUGGACAUUUUUGAGAUGAUGAUAUUUUUUUUUAGCUCGAUAUUUUUUAUUUUUUUAAGUUAAAAGGCGGAAAUACGAAAGGAAAGGAAAGGAAAGCAAUUGAAACUGCAGUUGUCAGCCGUGAAGGCCUUUUUUUACUCUCUCUGUGUUUCCCUUAUUUUUCUUCUCUCCUCUUCUCAUGUCAUUGUGUUCUGCAUCAAACCCCUUUAAAACAUCCCUCAGAGCUACGAGAAGGUUGGUGUGGUUUUUUGUUUUCCUUUUUUACUUUCUUUACCCACAUAUUUUUACAUUUCUUAAAAGAAAAAAUUAAAAAAAUUAAAAAAGAGAGAAAUAUAUAAAUAAAUCUAUAUCUUAUUACUGCGAUAUAUCUUUUUUUAUAAAAAAAAUUAAUAAAUGACAUAAAAAUAAAAUGGCAAAUAUAUAUAUAUGAUUGAAUAUUCUUUUCUUUAAAAAAAAAAGAGAGAAAAAGCAAGAAAAUCUCUGCGUAUUUAUAUAUAUAUCUAUAUAUAUAUUUUAUAUAUUUAAAAAAAAAAAGUUGACAAAGCGAGACCCUCCCCCCUCUUCGUUCUCGGGUCUCGUUGGAGAUGAGUUGAGUUGCAUUGUGGGCCGUGUGCUCUCUUCUUCUGCAUCCCUUGGUUGCAUCUCUGUGUGCACUUUUUUCUGUCGUCAUGGUUACCUUGCUGUAUGGACAUUUUGGGCCUGAUCUGCAUGAUAGGAGAAUGUUUACGAGGCAACGAUAUUUUGCAUGCCGGUCCUUAUCAGUUUUUUUAUUUUUUAAAAAAAAUUAAUAUUAUUAAUUUCUCCCGCCCCCUUUAAAUUUUUUAUUGUUAUUUCCGUUCUUUCAAAUUGUGUGCGUGAGUGUGCGCGUGCGUGUAUGUAUAUAUAUCUAUACAUAUAAUUUCAAAUGAACUUCUUUCUUUUUUUUAACGUUAUCAGUGGAUUUUCCCCCACCCGCAAAUUUAUUUCUUUUUAAACUUUUUGAUUUUUGCUUUUUGUUUGUUUGUUUCUCUCUUUUUUCUUUUUUUCCCAAAAAAACCUUCCUUUUUGUCGGUUUGUCAGUUGGUUGGUUUCGAUCGGUUAUGCUGUGCUGUAAUUUUAUUCCAACUGCAUUGUGGAAAAAAAGCCAGUGUUCCUGCUACCCUUUCUUCCACCCCCUCCUCCAAAUCUACAACCCCCUCCCACACCCCUCUGACGAUUUAACAACCUCCAACCAGCUCUAAUGCCUGUCUGAGGAACAGCCUCCUGGGAGGAGGGGAGGGGGGGUCUCAGCUAGACGGCCCCGAAAGGAACUUGAGUUUUACAUGGGCUGCUAAAAAGGGAACUUAAGCAUUGCCCUCAAGUUGACAGAGCAAUCCUGGACCCCCAUUACACAAGCAGAAGUUUACUUUCCUUAAACACAAUCGCUUCCGGAUAACCACCGCACCCUCGAUCCACAUGCAAAACAUUUACACUCUUGCAAACCUGCAUUUUUGAUACCACCGUCAAGAGCAGGGGUCAGCAAACUUUUUCAGCAGGGAUCCGGUCCACUGUCCCUCUGACCAUGUGGUGGGCUGGACUAUAUUUGGGGGGGGGGGAAUAAUGAACGAAUUCCUAAGCCCCACAAAUAACCCAGAGAUGCAUUUUAAAUAAGAGGACACAUUCUAUUCAUGUAAAAACACCAGGCAGGCCCCACAAAUAACCCAGAGAUGCAUUUUAGAUAAAAGGACACAUUCUACUCAUGUAAAAACACCAGGCAUGCCCCACAAAUAACCCAGAGAUGCAUUUUAAAUAAAAGGACACAUUCUACUCAUGUAAAAACACCAGGCAGGCCCCACAAAUAACCCAGAGACGCAUUUUAGAUAAAAGGACACAUUCUACUCAUGUAAAAACACCAGGCAGGCCCCACAAAUAACCCAGAGACGCAUUUUAGAUAAAAGGACACAUUCUACUCAUGUAAAAACACCAGGCAGGCACCACAAAUAACCCAGAGAUGCAUUUUAAAUAAAAGGACACAUUCUACUCAUGUAAAAACACCAGGCAGGCCCCACAAAUAACCCAGAGAUGCAUUUUAAAUAAAAGGACACAUUCUACUCAUGUAAAAACACCAGGCAGGCCCCACAAAUAACCCAGAGAUGCAUUUUAAAUAAAAGGACACAUUCUACUCAUGUAAAAAACAAGUUGAUUCCCGGACCAUCCACGGGCCGGAUUUAGAAGGCGAUUGGGCCAGAUCCAGCCCCCGGGCCUUAGUUUGCCUACCCAUGGUCCAGACAGACUGCAUUGCAGAGGGUUGGGCUGGAUGACCCUUCAAAUUCUGUGGCGCCAACAGAGCAUAGCUGCCCCCUACACCUGUCAUCUAAUGAUGACUCUGUCUGUAAAGGUUGUAAACGUUUAAAAUAAGCCGAUAAAAGUCUCUUUCAAUGCCCUGUUUGAAAGUACAUUGCAGCAGGAGGAUUAAACAAUUCUUUUUUAAAGCUUCAGGCAAACCGCGGGUUAUUCUCAAGGUCCCCCACAAAGUGCCUAUGGUUCCACGCAGAACAAAAUUGCACCCGUUGAGGCUUAUGGCCUUCUGAGACUUUGCACCGGGGAUGGAGAGCCUGUGUGGCCCUCCAAAAUAUUGGUGGACUACAAUGCCCAUCAUCCCUGACCGUUGGCCAUGUUGGCUGAGGCAGGCGGCAUCUAAUAAGGACCACUUUCCUGCCCCUUUUUUCUUUUUCUUUUUUAGAAUUUAUAUGCCACUCGAUUGCAGCAAAAAAAAAACCUAAGCAGUUUACAAUAGAAGUUUAAAGGAUCAGUGGGAACUGUCCAGAGAUUCCAAAGGGAUUAAGAUCAACAGCGAAACAGAUUAAAAUGACAUUAUUUGACAAAAUUAACUCCGCCUCCCUUUGUCACUGGCCACAACUACCCACCUGGGUGAGAACCAGGAAUCUGGGAAGUGCGGUUUGUUGAGAGUUGUCAGGAGACCUCCUCAGAGCGCUACAGUUCCCAGAGUGGUUUAGCAAUCAAUCAAGAAUAAGGGGGGGGGUCUCCUUACAACUUAAAAUAUACAGUGCAGAUGGAGACAAAGUAAACCAAUUCAAAGCAACAUUCAAAUUACAGUGGUACCUCGGUUUACAAACACAAUUGGUUCCGGAAGUCUGUACUUAACCUGAAGCGAACUUUCUCAUUGAAAGUAAUGGACAGUGGAUUAAUCCGUUCCAGACGGGUCCGCGGAGUACUUAAACUGAAAGUACUCAAACCGAGGCGUAGUUAAACCGAGGUAUGACUGUACAUGUCUCGGUAGGCGUGCCUGAGCAAAGUUUUCAACAGGCACCAAAAAAAGGGAGCACAAAGGCCUUUGUUUAAUAUCAAUUAGCAGAGAGUUCCAGAGGGUAAGAUGGACUUUCUUAUGUGACUGAGGUGAGUGCCACAUAAAUGCCUCUGGAAACCACCUGCGAUUUUGGAUAUUUUUAAAGUUAAACUUAGAAAAUACUUUGUAUUUGGGGGAUGGAAUCAUCAUAGGGUAUUAGAUUACUGCAAUGCGUUAUGUAGGGCUGCCUCUGAAGAUGGUUCAGAAACGUCAGCUACUGGGAGUGCAGAAUUCAGCGGCCAGGUUGCUCAUCGGAACAAUACGGUUUGAGCAUCUUACACCAAUCCUGGUAUGACUGCACUGGCUACCAAUUAGUUUCUGGGCCCAAGUGCUGGUUUUGACCUAUAAAGCCUUAAACGGCUCAGGACUGCAAUACCUCAGGGACCGCCUCUUUCCAUAUGAACCUACCCGGACCCUGAGAUCAUCCUCUGAGGCUCUCCUUCAUGUGCCUCCUUCUCGAGAGGUCCGGAGGGUGGCAACACGAGAACAGGGCCUUCUCUGCAGUGGCUCCCCGUCUGUGGGAUGCUCUCCCCCGGGAAGUUCGCCUGGUGCCUUCAUUAUACACCUUUGGGCACCAGGCAAAAACAUUCAUCUUCUCCCCAGCCUGGCUGAUUAUCAUUCAAUACCCUUUUAAAUGCGUUGUGGGAAUGGGGUUAUUGGGUUUUUCUUGGGGUUUUUUGUUUGUUUGGUAUGUAGUAUGUCUUUUUUAUAUCGUGAUUUUAUCUUGUGAACCGCCCUGAGACCUGCCAGUAUAGGGCGGUAUACAAAUUUAAUAAAUAAUAAAAAUAAUAAAUAAAAUGCACCACACCGUACACAUUUCAGACAGUAUCAGUUUGAUAAGACUCCCCAUUGCAAACUUUUGAAGGGUCUGCUGCUGCUUAUAAAUGGCUCUCUCUCUCUCUCUCUGACACACACACACACACACACACACACACACACACACACACACACACUUUCCGGCAUUCCCAAAUCUCCACCCACCCACCCCAAAAAACCCCACCCGUCUUCUAUAUAGGACUCCUAUUCCCUUAAUAAUGCAAAGAUGAUGGCCUUAUAAAACCCAGUGGGCAAGUUCCUAAUGUACAGGUAUUAAAGCUGUGUGGUCGACCUGUUUGUGUAUUUAUUCAUUGAGAAAUCCGGUGCAGCUUUGACAGUUAUCUGUCUCAUUAUUAUUUCCUCUCUCUUUUACUUUUGCUUUCUCUUCCUCUCUCUCUCUUUCUUUCCUUCCUUCUCUCUCUCUUUCUCUCUCUGUCUGUCUUUCUCUAAAGAUGCUGGUAUUUCUGUGCUCAAAGAACGCCUGGGUGCUGGCGCUUUUACAUGCACACACUUCAUCCUUUCACAGAUGUUCCCCUCGCUUCUGAGGUUCGGGGGGAGGGCGUGCCUCACCCUAGAAUGCCCAAAAGCAGGGAAUCCAGAGUAUGCCUCUGAACGCCAGUUUCUGGGUAUCCCAAGCGGGGUCCGGCUGGCAAGCCUCCCCGAAGAAAGAGUCCCUAGAUAGACAUUUGAUAUGAACCAGUCCGGCUCACCCAAUGUUCUCACGAAACAAUAGAUGGUUUCUUCCCUGCACCAAGGCAUCCUUGACCCCACUUGCCCUUUCCUCCGGAGAUUAAUUAGCAUUUGCAAAUGAUUACUUCAGCUGGAGGACAGGGUGGUGGGUGAUGCGAGCUUGCAAGGCUUGUGAGCUACCUUUCAGGCAAGUCUCAAGCCUCACUUGUAAAGCAAGGUUUCCAAAUUUGCUCAUCCGACUGGGGCUGACAGGAGUUGUGGUCCAAAAUCUCCGCAGGGCACCAAUUUGUAGGGGCACGAGGCAGCAAUAACCCCCUGGAGUUAAGAGCAGGCAUCCCCAAACUGUGGCCCUCCAGAUGUUUUGGCCUACAACUCCCAUGAUCCCAGCUAACAGGACCAGUGGUCGGGGAAGAUGGGAAUUGUAGUCCAAAACAUCUGGAGGGCCGAAGUUUGGGGAUGCCUGAGUUAGAGUCUUCUGCAAAUGUUGUAGAAAUGUGGGAAAAUUAAUGAAAUACAUAGGGCCAGAUCCCAGGCUUAGCUGAAAUUGGGUCUUGUCAAAAGCUAUGGGGCAAGUGUAGUCAUGACUUGGGGUUGGUCCUUUCUGGGGGCAGAGCUGUGCUGAUUAACGACCUAAGUAAUAUAGGACAGCUAACUCCAAUGAGUCUACUCUGAGUAGGACUUAGUUGGAUGCAACCCUUGAUGUUUAAGCCCCCACUUAUUUCAGUGGGAACUUAAGAGCAGCUGACUUGUUCUGAAUCCAACAGGUGGAUGGAGCCUGUAGUGUAAAAUAUUUUGAGCCGAGGGGCUGACUUGUGCUAGAGCAGGCACCCCCAAACUUUGGCCCUCCAGAUGUUUUGGACUACAGUUCCCAUCAUCCCUGACCACUGGUCCUGUUAGCUAGGGAUCAUGGGAAUUGUAGGCCAAAACAUCUGGAGGGCUGCGGUUUGGGGGUGCCUGUGCUAGAGUAUGGGGUUAAGGCUACAGUAAUGACCAAGUGAGGGCAGGAAUUUGAGAAGGCCACAUCUGCAUGAAGAUUAUUUUGUUGGAAUGUCAACAUUUCCCACUCCUAAAAAAAUUAAAAAGGAGAAACAUGAAUUUUGCAGUCUGGGAACUUCCCUGCCCUAUGGAUUCCUCCACUGGGAUUUCUUCCCACAGAGUAGUGUGGUUUGUUUGGAGUUUUUUUUUAGUUUGCCCCACAUAAAAAUCCUCAUAAGGUUAUCAGAGGUCCUUAGUUUUUAAGCUCGUCUUCAGAGAUACCACUCAUUAACUUGCCCUCCUCUUUGCCCCUUCGGGGGAGAGUCGAGUGUCUUUAUAUAACAUAAUUGGGGAGGCCUCUUGAAUCCCCAGCAGCUUCAAGACAACUUAAUGGAGGUGGGGAUGUUCCCCCCCCCCCCGAGGGUAGAAAGUUUUGAAAAACACCAGCUGUGGAGGAAGGACUAUUCAAGGAUAACCUGCCCAAGUUGAAAACCUUGACAAUCUUCAAUUCCGGUGGGGUAUAAACCAGCCAGGCCCCUUACAGAAUAAUAAUAAUAAUAAUAACACGUAUGUUCUGUAACAUGCCUAUGAAAAAUAAAGCAAAAACUUUACAAAAAGCAAGGCCGAGUUUGCCUGUGCCUGGAGUAGAAUGUCUGGGUGGCCACUGUGAGACUGAGAUGCUGGACUAUUCGGGCCCUGAUCCAGCAGUGAUCUUUUUUAGGGCUCUUGCAGUAAUAACCCAACUGUCUUCAGGAUAUCAAGGCUUUGGGGUGACCAUAUCUCAAUAUUUCACUGCUGUGGUGCAUUUUUGAGGCCUUAUCCAGUCAGCACAGUUGGGCAUUUCAGAACACAUUGUUGUGACAUUAGCAUUCAGUGUUGCGAAGCUACAUUAAGAGGUUGCUUGUUCAUUACUGCAAUUCUCUCGUCCAUAGGCUUCCUCUUUGUAAAGUUCUUGGAUUUUUUUUUCAUACCUGUGUUCCAGAUUUAGUGCCUUGACUUUAUUUACUCUCUUGGUAUGACACCUUCUGCUCUCCCCCCCCCCCCCCACUGAGUUCUUAGUAUUAUUGCUUUGGUGUAGGGAGGGUUGAAGGGACGCAGGUGGCGCUGUGGUCUAAACCACUGAGCCUCUUGGGCUUGCCAAUCAGAAGGUCGGCGGUUCAAAUCCCUGUGACAGUUCCAGCUCCUGCCAACCCAGCAGUUCGAAAGCAUGUCAAAGUGCAAGCAGAUAAAUAGGUACCGCUCCGGCAGGAAUGUAAAUGGUGUUUCCGUGCGCUGCUCUAGUUUCGCCAGGAGCGGCUUAGUCCUGCUGGCCAUAUGACACGGGAAAACUGUCUGUGGACAAACGCCGGCUCCCUCGGCCUGUAAAGCAAGAUCAGCGCCGUAACCCCAGAGUCGUCUGCGACUGGACUUAACUGUCAGGGGUCCUUUACCUUUUUUUUUUAGGGAGGGUUAGGUUGGGGUUUUUUUGCAGGGUGCAUCUCUUUAAACACCCCCCCCCAAAAAAAAAAACC